Long non-coding RNA from Molossus molossus (Pallas's mastiff bat), 586 nucleotides. RefSeq lists it as uncharacterized. The record is from RefSeq and is a predicted model, not a curated record. NCBI's taxonomy places the organism in Eukaryota, Metazoa, Chordata, Mammalia, Chiroptera, Molossidae. The transcript has 3 exons.
CGCCCCAUUUUCACUGCAGAGGAUCAGCAAGCAGCGCCAGCUAUGAGAUGCUUGGAGGGAACUUUCUGGAACUGUGACAUGAUAAUGUGGUGAAUGUAAGAAAACUGCUUCAGCUGCUCCUAUCUCGAUGCUAUUGUGAAGAAUGCAACGUGUGACUAAUGAGUUUACUUGAAUUUCAAACAGAAUUUCGUUAAUAUUAAUUUCACAGAAAUAGCUAUGGGCUUGGAGAGAUUUCUACAAAGGAAGAGAUGAUGGGAAACAGGAAGUAUUCCGAUGCUGUCAGGAUUAAGCUGCCUAGAUGUCUACAUCUUCCAAGCAAAUGUACUGGAUAGCAAACGGAGUGAAUGGCAGGAGUAGUUCUUUAUUGCUACUGAGGACAGUGAUGAGGUACAAUGGACAUCACUGGAAUGACAGGAGCAACUGGGAACUUGACUUGGAAACUAACUGCUGAGACACAGACCAUGAGCCAGCAGAGAUGGCAUGGCCUUCUUUUUAGAAAUGUCUUUUAAAAAAUGUUUGAAAUUCAGAUAAUUCUACACAUAAAGUCAAAAUAAAUAAGCUCUAAUACUUCUACCUGCUUUUUGGU